CCUACGGGAGGCAGCAGUGGGGAAUAUUGGGCAAUGGAGGCAACUCUUACCCAGCAAUGCCGCGUGAAUGAAGAAGGUCUUCGGAUUGUAAAGUUCUUUAAUUGGGGACGAAAAAAAUGACGGUACCCAAGGAAUAAGCCCCGGCUAACUACGUGCCAGCAGCCGCGGUACUACGGAGGAUGCGAUCGUUAUCCGGAUUUAUUGGGUUUAAAGGGUGCGUAGGCGGUCCGUUAAGUCAGCGGUAAAAUUGCGGGGCUCAACCCUGUCGAGCCGUUGAAACUGGCAGACUUGAGUUGGCGAGAAGUACGCGGAAUGCGCGGUGUAGCGGUGAAAUGCAUAGAUAUCGCGCAGAACUCCGAUUGCGAAGGCAGCGUACCGGCGCCAGACUGACGCUGAGGCACGAAAGCGUGGGGAUCGAACAGGAUUAGAUACCCUUGUAGUC
This 442-nucleotide ribosomal RNA is filed under the name uncultured bacterium. RNAcentral's name for it is "partial 16S ribosomal RNA". It matches the Rfam family "Bacterial small subunit ribosomal RNA", at positions 338 to 795 of the family's 1533-position model. The record is from RNAcentral.